RNAcentral lists this ribosomal RNA (582 nucleotides) under uncultured bacterium. RNAcentral describes it as "bacterial SSU rRNA". It matches the Rfam family "Bacterial small subunit ribosomal RNA", at positions 338 to 873 of the family's 1533-position model. The record is from RNAcentral.
CCUACGGGAGGCAGCAGUGGGGAAUAUUGCACAAUGGGCGGAAGCCUGAUGCAGCGACGCCGCGUGAGGGAUGAAGGCCUUCGGGUUGUAAACCUCUUUCAGCAGGGACGAAGCGUGAGUGACGGUACCUGCAGAAGAAGCACUGGCUAACUACGUGCCAGCAGCCGCGGUAAUACGUAGGGUGCGAGCGUUGUCCGGAAUUACUGGGCGUAAAGAGUUCGUAGGCGGUUUGUCGCGUCGUUUGUGAAAACCCGGGGCUCAACUUCGGGCUUGCAGGCGAUACGGGCAGACUUGAGUGUUUCAGGGGAGACUGGAAUUCCUGGUGUAGCGGUGAAAUGCGCAGAUAUCAGGAGGAACACCGGUGGCGAAGGCGGGUCUCUGGGAAACAACUGACGCUGAGGAACGAAAGCGUGGGUAGCAAACAGGAUUAGAUACCCUGGUAGUCCGACGCCGUAAACGGUGGGCGCUAGGUGUGGGUUCCUUCCACGGGAUCUGUGCCGUAGCUAACGCAUUAAGCGCCCGCUGGGGAUACGGCGCAAGGCUAAACNCAAUGAUGCGNNGNGNNGCGAGNGACACGAGGAG